UCACGCCUGCCUGUCACGCAAAGUUGGGUAAUCUCUGUGUAAUCAUGAACAUUUCAGUGGAGGUCUAAAUCUUUUAUUUGUUUGGUAAGUGUGGGUGAAAUAUUUACAACUGAUGUCACUCGUUUAUUCACUGAAAUAUAACACGGAACUAGAAAACUGGUGGAGGGAGGGAGCGCUGGUGGAGGGAGGGGAGAGGAAGGGAGUGGAGGGUGCAGAGUGUCAGGAAGAGGAAGAGCGAGUGUUGCAGGGAAAGUACUGGUCUGUGCUGCGUGUGGGAAGUGACUUUAGUGGCGGCGUGAAGGCGAGGACACGAGUGAGGUGCUGGCAGGCUGACUGAGCGCAAUGGACCAACACGAAUAGUUGGAGCUCGGGGGACAGGCGCGCGCGAAGGCAGACGGCGACAGAUUCGUGACUCAAAACAAAAGCAUCGUGACAGCACAAGUGGGAGCGUCCGUCAUUCUUCAAUGCAAGACCUCAAGUGCGACUGGCGGCCUGGUGUCUUGGAUCAGGAAGAGGGACUACCAGCUCCUGACGGUGAGUCUGCACACACACUCCAGUGACGACCGCUUCUCCAUCAACUACUUGCAUUGGCACGACGCCCGCCAACACAGCACACGUGACCUCAGCCUUACCACUUCCUUCACACGCUGAUCCUCGUUCUUCACAACAGCGCCACCAUUUUUGACCAGCCAAGUCUCCACCUCGUGGCGGCCAAACUGCACGGCCA
Long non-coding RNA from Scylla paramamosain (green mud crab), 727 nucleotides. RefSeq lists it as uncharacterized. The transcript has 4 exons. NCBI's taxonomy places the organism in Eukaryota, Metazoa, Arthropoda, Malacostraca, Decapoda, Portunidae. The record is from RefSeq and is a predicted model, not a curated record.